GACGAACGCUGGCGGCGUGCUUAACACAUGCAAGUCGAACGAUGAACCCGGAGCUUGCUCUGGGGGAUUAGUGGCGAACGGGUGAGUAACACGUGAGUAACCUGCCCUGGACUCUGGGAUAAGCGUUGGAAACGACGUCUAAUACCGGAUAGGACCUUGGAUCGCAUGAUCUGGGGUGGAAAGUUUUUUCGGUCUGGGAUGGACUCGCGGCCUAUCAGCUUGUUGGUGAGGUAAUGGCUCACCAAGGCGUCGACGGGUAGCCGGCCUGAGAGGGUGACCGGCCACACUGGGACUGAGACACGGCCCAGACUCCUACGGGAGGCAGCAGUGGGGAAUAUUGCACAAUGGGCGAAAGCCUGAUGCAGCAACGCCGCGUGCGGGAUGACGGCCUUCGGGUUGUAAACCGCUUUUAGUAGGGAAGAAGGGCUUCGGCUUGACGGUACCUGCAGAAAAAGGACCGGCUAGCUACGU
Molecule: ribosomal RNA, 471 nt
Filed under: uncultured bacterium
Lineage: Bacteria
Description: partial 16S ribosomal RNA
Rfam family: Bacterial small subunit ribosomal RNA
Source: RNAcentral